RNAcentral lists this ribosomal RNA (496 nucleotides) under uncultured bacterium. Its description in RNAcentral is "bacterial SSU rRNA". It matches the Rfam family "Bacterial small subunit ribosomal RNA", at positions 28 to 513 of the family's 1533-position model. The record is from RNAcentral.
GAUGAACGCUAGCGGCAGGCUUAACACAUGCAAGUCGAGGGGCAGCAUGAUGAAACUUUCGGGUUUCAUUGAUGGCGACCGGCGCAAGGGUGCGUAACGGCGUGAGCAACUUGCCCUUAUCAGGGGGAUAACCGGUGGAAACGCCGACUAAUACCCCAUAGCAUCACUUUAAGGCAUCUUUUAGUGAUUAAAGAAUUUCGGAUAAGGAUAGGCUCGCGUGACAUUAGCUAGAUGGCGGGGUAACGGCCCACCAUGGCGACGAUGUCUAGGGGGUUCUGAGAGGGAAGGUCCCCCACACUGGAACUGAGACACGGUCCAGACUCCUACGGGAGCAGCAGUGAGGAAUAUUGGUCAAUGGGCCGAGAGGCUGAACCAGCCAUGCCGCGUGAAGGUCACGGCCCUAUGGGUCUUAAACGUCUUUGAAGGAGCAAUAAGGUUCACGUGUGGACUGAUGAGAGUACCUUACGAAUAAGCAUCGGCUAACUCCGUGCCAGCA